Molecule: long non-coding RNA, 1544 nt
Organism: Populus trichocarpa (black cottonwood)
Lineage: Eukaryota; Viridiplantae; Streptophyta; Magnoliopsida; Malpighiales; Salicaceae
Exons: 2
Source: RefSeq, a predicted model, not a curated record
UCCCUCGGGGCUAAAAAGCAUACCCUAGAUUAAUAGGGCUUGAAUGGAAGUACACUUCUUUGUUUUAUUUGCAUUUUGUUAAUUUUUAAUUAAGUACUAAGUACAGUUCAUGAUAUACAUUGUUUUUUAAAAAAGUAUACUAUAUAAUAAAAAAUUAAGGGCAUAUGCAAAGCAGUGAUGGGCUUUCCAUAAUGCAAGGGAUUGGCAGGAGGGUUCUUCACUCAUAGCAUGGAAGAGAAGAAUACGAACAAGUCUUUUACUAUUAGUAUUAAUUUCUUUAAAAUAAUAAUAAUAAUUUGUUCUCCGGUUCCUGCCUUCCAUUCACCUAUAUAAAGCCAUGCCUCUUCUUCAAAACCCAUGAGUUGCUUAAAUGAGUUAUCAUAAAGCUUGUGAUUGUAGAAGCUCUCCCCCUUCCUUUCUCUGUUCGCUCAUCAUGAGAUUUCUUUUUCCGAAACAGUCACUUUUACCACCUCUCCCUCCCUCCCUCUCUCUCCCUCUCACAGUUUUCACUCUCAACCCUCUAAUUUUGAUGGCCAUUUCAACUUGAACCAGUGCUAUCCCUUCCAAACUCGGUUGUGACUUUGAGGAUGGUGUGAUGAUUUGGAGAAGGGUUACAUGGAGUACUCACAAACCAUGAAUCUAUAUCUAUGUUAAAGUUGCAUAGAUCUGCAUAAAAUUCUUCACCUAAGCAUUGAUGAAUCUCUCUGUGAAUUUCUUAUCUAGACAUCUGCUUUUUCUCUAACCAUCCGCUGCAUCUUCAAUUUGUUUGUCGCAUUUUUUUUUUGUCUAGAUGAUAAUUAAUAGCUAAGAGAGCUUUCUUCAGUCCACUCAUGGGUGGUAGUAGGAUUUAAUUAGCUGCCGACUCAUUCAUCCAAAUACUGAGUUAAAGGACAAGGAGAUUACCCAGUAAAUGAGUGAAUGAUGCGGGAGACAAAUUGAAUCCUAAGCUUCCUGUACUUGGACUGAAGGGAGCUCCCUUUCCUUUUAUACUAUGUAUCUUAUACUUGUUUCUUGUGUUUAAUAUAUAUCUGAUGUUUGGCUGGCGGCAAAUGCUGUGUGUCUAUAUGUAUAUAUAUUCUUCCAGACAGCAUGAAAUCAAGUUUUUGUUCAGGUGAGCUUUCUUAAGAAAACUGCCUUUUAGGGAUAGACACAAGGAAUUUUAGGGUUUUGAUCAAGCUGCAGCUGUUUCUUUGUUAAAGGCAACAACGCAUGAGGGGCAGAAGAUUUUACAAGCUCACGCUCCACGACAUUAGCUUCUUGGGUCUUGCUCUUAAACUGCAACAAGUUCCUAGACGGAUAAAAAUGUCCCCCAGAAGUUGAAUUACUGAAAUAUCCUCAAUGGAGGUUCUUACCCGUGGUUCAUGGAAUAUCCACUUUAAUUUGCAAAAAUAACAUGAUGUCUAUUUUUCCUACUAAUUUUGACCUGUUUAUUUACGAGUAAACAAAUGUAUCCACUAAGAAACUUUAGAGCUCUCCUCAGCUGGAGAUUUUAUUUUGUACACUUGUAAGUUUGGAACGUUUAUAUCAUGUUAUUUUCUUUUUCA